Schistocerca piceifrons (Central American locust) is the source of this 386-nucleotide long non-coding RNA. RefSeq lists it as uncharacterized. NCBI's taxonomy places the organism in Eukaryota, Metazoa, Arthropoda, Insecta, Orthoptera, Acrididae. The transcript is spliced from 4 exons. The record is from RefSeq and is a predicted model, not a curated record.
GCCCGAAGGAGGCGGGAGGCCGGCCCAGCCGUGGCCAGGGGAGGAGGAUAAAACGCGGGAGGCGCGACCGACCGCCACUGCACUGGUUGCUGCGGCGCGGGACGUGUCUGAUUGUACAACUGUCUGAAAAUUUUAUGAAGAUAUUUUGAGGAAGAAUUUCUUUACUUCGCCAAAUAACUGUAUCCUAGCAUUAUGUUCUGCAGAAGCUUCAGAUGGCUUAUCUACUUCUUUAUGGCUGUAGUCUUAGCUACUGGCUACAGUGACCCAGAUUCCAUUACAGAACCCAAUCCUGAAGUCACAGAGUACAUUUCAGGAAAUGACAAACCAGAGCUGUCCACAGUGGAGCCGGCGUGCGAGCAGCUCGCGGCUGCGCAGCUGUCCGUUGA